This 459-nucleotide ribosomal RNA is filed under the name Triticum aestivum (bread wheat). Its description in RNAcentral is "partial small subunit ribosomal RNA". Lineage: Eukaryota; Viridiplantae; Streptophyta; Magnoliopsida; Poales; Poaceae. The record is from RNAcentral.
AUGGGCGCCGGGGAAAUGCAGAUUCUUCAUAUGGAUGUCUUUCUUGGUAAAAUUCUCACGGCUGACGCUCUCCUGCGUCGGGGUUGGGAGAACUGCUACUUUUGCCCUUUGUGUGUGCGCAACCUGGAAACCCCCCUCCACCUCCUCGUGGAUUGUCCGUGGUCUAGAUCCAUCUGGGACGGCAUUGCGUCGAUGGCCAAUUUGCCGUCACUGAACACGGCCACAUGGAGCGCCACCUCCGCCUUCAAGGACUGGAUGUUGGAGCGCAACGCACUGACGCUGCCGGCGAGAAGAAAGGGCUUGAUCUCUCUUGUUCAUCUGACGGCGUGGGAGAUUUGGCGUGAGAGAAACCGACGGCUAUUCCAGCAGGAGGCAAUGACUAAAGUUGCAUUCAAGUGCAAGGUCAUGGAUGAAAUCAAGAUGUGGAACAUGGCUGGUGCUGGCAUACCUUUUGACCCG